This 301-nucleotide ribosomal RNA is filed under the name uncultured bacterium. RNAcentral describes it as "partial 16S ribosomal RNA". It matches the Rfam family "Bacterial small subunit ribosomal RNA", at positions 509 to 807 of the family's 1533-position model. The record is from RNAcentral.
CAGCAGCCGCGGUAAUACGUAGGUGGCAAGCGUUAUCCGGAAUUAUUGGGCGUAAAGCGCGCGUAGGCGGUUUUUUAAGUCUGAUGUGAAAGCCCACGGCUCAACCGUGGAGGGUCAUUGGAAACUGAAAAACUUGAGUGCAGAAGAGGAAAGUGGAAUUCCAUGUGUAGCGGUGAAAUGCGCAGAGAUAUGGAGGAACACCAGUGGCGAAGGCGACUUUCUGGUCUGUAACUGACGCUGAUGUGCGAAAGCGUGGGGAUCAAACAGGAUUAGAUACCCCAGUAGUCCCUGUCUCUUAUAC